GAUGAACGCUGGCGGCGUGCCUAAUACAUGCAAGUCGAGCGAACAGAUGAGGAGCUUGCUCCUCUGACGUUAGCGGCGGACGGGUGAGUAACACGUGGAUAACCUACCUAUAAGACUGGGAUAACUUCGGGAAACCGGAGCUAAUACCGGAUAAUAUAUUGAACCGCAUGGUUCAAUAGUGAAAGAUGGUUUUGCUGUCACUUAUAGAUGGAUCCGCGCCGCAUUAGCUAGUUGGUAAGGUAACGGCUUACCAAGGCAACGAUGCGUAGCCGACCUGAGAGGGUGAUCGGCCACCCUGGAACUGAGACACGGUCCAGACUCCUACGGGAGGCAGCAGUAGGGAAUCUUCCGCAAUGGGCGAAAGCCUGACGGAGCAACGCCGCGUGAGUGAUGAAGGUCUUCGGAUCGUAAAACUCUGUUAUUAGGGAAGAACAAAUGUGUAAGUAACUAUGCACGUCUUGACGGUACCUAAUCAGAAAGCCACGGCUAACUACGUG
This 497-nucleotide ribosomal RNA is filed under the name uncultured bacterium. RNAcentral's name for it is "partial 16S ribosomal RNA". It matches the Rfam family "Bacterial small subunit ribosomal RNA", at positions 28 to 507 of the family's 1533-position model. The record is from RNAcentral.